GUCGAGGGGCAGCAUUCAGUUUGCUUGCAAACUGGAGAUGGCGACCGGCGCACGGGUGAGUAACACGUAUCCAACCUGCCGAUAACUCGGGGAUAGCCUUUCGAAAGAAAGAUUAAUACCCGAUAGUAUAAUUAGACCGCAUGGUCUUAUUAUUAAAGAAUUUCGGUUAUCGAUGGGGAUGCGUUCCAUUAGGCAGUUGGUGAGGUAACGGCUCACCAAACCUUCGAUGGAUAGGGGUUCUGAGAGGAAGGUCCCCCACAUUGGAACUGAGACACGGUCCAAACUCCUACGGGAGGCAGCAGUGAGGAAUAUUGGUCAAUGGGCGCAGGCCUGAACCAGCCAAGUAGCGUGAAGGAUGACUGCCCUAUGGGUUGUAAACUUCUUUUAUAUGGGAAUAAAGUUUUCCACGUGUGGAAUUUUGUAUGUACCAUAUGAAUAAGGAUCGGCUAACUCCGUGCCAGCAGCCGCGGUAAUACGGAGGAUCCGAGCGUUAUCCGGAUUUAUUGGGUUUAAAGGGAGCGUAGGUGGACAGUUAAGUCAGUUGUGAAAGUUUGCGGCUCAACCGUAAAAUUGCAGUUGAUACUGGCUGUCUUGAGUACAGUAGAGGUGGGCGGAAUUCGUGGUGUAG
Molecule: ribosomal RNA, 628 nt
Filed under: uncultured Bacteroidales bacterium
Lineage: Bacteria; Pseudomonadati; Bacteroidota; Bacteroidia; Bacteroidales
Description: bacterial SSU rRNA
Rfam family: Bacterial small subunit ribosomal RNA
Source: RNAcentral